This 1343-nucleotide ribosomal RNA is filed under the name uncultured bacterium. Its description in RNAcentral is "16S ribosomal RNA". It matches the Rfam family "Bacterial small subunit ribosomal RNA", at positions 28 to 1378 of the family's 1533-position model. The record is from RNAcentral.
GACGAACGCUGGCGGCGCGCUUAACACAUGCAAGUCGAACGGAAAGGCCCUGCUUUUGUGGGGUGCUCGAGUGGCGAACGGGUGAGUAACACGUGAGUAACCUGCCCUUGACUUUGGGAUAACUUCAGGAAACUGGGGCUAAUACCGGAUAGGAGCUCCUGCUGCAUGGUGGGGGUUGGAAAGUUUCGGCGGUUGGGGAUGGACUCGCGGCUUAUCAGCUUGUUGGUGGGGUAGUGGCUUACCAAGGCUUUGACGGGUAGCCGGCCUGAGAGGGUGACCGGCCACAUUGGGACUGAGAUACGGCCCAGACUCCUACGGGAGGCAGCAGUGGGGAAUAUUGCACAAUGGGCGGAAGCCUGAUGCAGCAACGCCGCGUGCGGGAUGACGGCCUUCGGGUUGUAAACCGCUUUCGCCUGUGACGAAGCGUGAGUGACGGUAAUGGGUAAAGAAGCACCGGCUAACUACGUGCCAGCAGCCGCGGUGGUACGUAGGGUGCGAGCGUUGUCCGGAUUUAUUGGGCGUAAAGGGCUCGUAGGUGGUUGAUCGCGUCGGAAGUGUAAUCUUGGGGCUUAACCCUGAGCGUGCUUUCGAUACGGGUUGACUUGAGGAAGGUAGGGGAGAAUGGAAUUCCUGGUGGAGCGGUGGAAUGCGCAGAUAUCAGGAGGAACACCAGUGGCGAAGGCGGUUCUCUGGGCCUUUCCUGACGCUGAGGAGCGAAAGCGUGGGGAGCGAACAGGCUUAGAUACCCUGGUAGUCCACGCUGUAAACGGUGGGUACUAGGUGUGGGGUCCAUUCCACGGGUUCCGUGCCGUAGCUAACGCUUUAAGUACCCCGCCUGGGGAGUACGGCCGCAAGGCUAAAACUCAAAGGAAUUGACGGGGCCCCGCACAAGCGGCGGAGCAUGCGGAUUAAUUCGAUGCAACGCGUAGAACCUUACCUGGGUUUGACAUGGAUCGGGAGUGCUCAGAGAUGGGUGUGCCUCUUUUGGGGUCGGUUCACAGGUGGUGCAUGGCUGUCGUCAGCUCGUGUCGUGAGAUGUUGGGUUAAGUCCCGCAACGAGCGCAACCCUUGUUCACUGUUGCCAGCACGUUAUGGUGGGGACUCAGUGGAGACCGCCGGGGUCAACUCGGAGGAAGGUGGGGAUGACGUCAAGUCAUCAUGCCCCUUAUGUCCAGGGCUUCACGCAUGCUACAAUGGCUGGUACAGAGAGUGGCGAGCCUGUGAGGGUGAGCGAAUCUCGGAAAGCCGGUCUCAGUUCGGAUUGGGGUCUGCAACUCGACCUCAUGAAGUCGGAGUCGCUAGUAAUCGCAGAUCAGCAACGCUGCGGUGAAUACGUUCCCGGG